This 613-nucleotide ribosomal RNA is filed under the name Skeletocutis minutula. Its description in RNAcentral is "Tyromyces minutulus eukaryotic LSU rRNA". The stretch from base 211 to 364 matches the Rfam family "5.8S ribosomal RNA". Lineage: Eukaryota; Fungi; Basidiomycota; Agaricomycetes; Polyporales; Incrustoporiaceae. The record is from RNAcentral.
AGGCGACUGCGGAGGACAUUAUCGAGUAUACAAAGAGGUUGCAGCUGGCCCUUCCGGGGGCAAGUGCUCGCCUCUUACAACUCUAUCGACCCCUGUGAACCAGCUGUAGGAUGGGUUUGGGUCGCGCCCUAGCGGGUGCUUCCCGGCCUUUCCUAUGUCGUUUUAUAAACACUUUGUAUGAGAAUGUUGUCGCGUAUAACGCAUCAAUAUAACUUUCAGCAACGGAUCUCUUGGCUCUCGCAUCGAUGAAGAACGCAGCGAAAUGCGAUAAGUAAUGUGAAUUGCAGAAUUCAGUGAAUCAUCGAAUCUUUGAACGCACCUUGCGCCCCUUGGUAUUCCGAGGGGCAUGCCCGUUUGAGUGUCAUUGUAUUCUCAAAGCUUCGACCUUUGCCGGUCGUGGCUUUGGACUUGGAGGUCUGCGGGAAGCACGUUGUGCGGUCCGCUCCUCUCGAAUGCAUUAGCUGGGACCCUUUUUGCCGGAACGGCUACGGUGUGAUAAUUAUCUACGCUGUGGGCCUCGAAGGCGACGUCCUGCUCUCCAACCGUCUCUCGAGACAUCAUCUUGACAUCUGACCUCAAAUCGGGUAGGACUACCCGCUGAACUUAAGCAUAU